AGUGAACGCUGGCGGUAGGCCUAACACAUGCAAGUCGAACGGCAGCACAGUAAGAGCUUGCUCUUACGGGUGGCGAGUGGCGGACGGGUGAGGAAUACAUCGGAAUCUACUUUUUCGUGGGGGAAACGUAGGGAAACUUACGCUAAUACCGCAUACGACCUACGGGUGAAAGCAGGGGAUCUUCGGACCUUGCGCGAUUGAAUGAGCCGAUGUCGGAUUAGCUAGUUGGCGGGGUAAAGGCCCACCAAGGCGACGAUCCGUAGCUGGUCUGAGAGGAUGAUCAGCCACACUGGAACUGAGACACGGUCCAGACUCCUACGGGAGGCAGCAGUGGGGAAUAUUGGACAAUGGGCGCAAGCCUGAUCCAGCCAUACCGCGUGGGUGAAGAAGGCCUUCGGGUUGUAAAGCCCUUUUGUUGGGAAAGAAAAGCAGCAGGUUAAUACCCCGCUGUUCUGACGGGACCCAAAGAAUAAGCACCGGCUAACUUCGU
This 490-nucleotide ribosomal RNA is filed under the name uncultured bacterium. RNAcentral describes it as "partial 16S ribosomal RNA". It matches the Rfam family "Bacterial small subunit ribosomal RNA", at positions 29 to 506 of the family's 1533-position model. The record is from RNAcentral.